CGGGACACGUGGUAUCCUGUCUGAAUAUGGGGGGACCAUCCUCCAAGGCUAAAUACUCCUGACUGACCGAUAGUGAACCAGUACCGUGAGGGAAAGGCGAAAAGAACCCCGGCGAGGGGAGUGAAAAAGAACCUGAAACCGUGUACGUACAAGCAGUGGGAGCACGCUUAGGCGUGUGACUGCGUACCUUUUGUAUAAUGGGUCAGCGACUUAUAUUCUGUAGCAAGGUUAACCGAAUAGGGGAGCCGAAGGGAAACCGAGUCUUAACUGGGCGUUAAGUUGCAGGGUAUAGACCCGAAACCCGGUGAUCUAGCCAUGGGCAGGUUGAAGGUUGGGUAACACUAACUGGAGGACCGAACCGACUAAUGUUGAAAAAUUAGCGGAUGACUUGUGGCUGGGGGUGAAAGGCCAAUCAAACCGGGAGAUAGCUGGUUCUCCCCGAAAGCUAUUUAGGUAGCGCCUCGUGAAUUCAUCUCCGGGGGUAGAGCACUGUUUCGGCAAGGGGGUCAUCCCGACUUACCAACCCGAUGCAAACUGCGAAUACCGGAGAAUGUUAUCACGGGAGACACACGGCGGGUGCUAACGUCCGUCGUGAAGAGGGAAACAACCCAGACCGCCAGCUAAGGUCCCAAAGUCAUGGUUAAGUGGGAAACGAUGUGGGAAGGCCCAGACAGCCAGGAUGUUGGCUUAGAAGCAGCCAUCAUUUAAAGAAAGCGUAAUAGCUCACUGGUCGAGUCGGCCUGCGCGGAAGAUGUAACGGGGCUAAACCAUGCACCGAAGCUGCGGCAGCGACGCUGAUGCGUUGUUGGGUAGGGGAGCGUUCUGUAAGCCUGUGAAGGUGUGCUGUGAGGCAUGCUGGAGGUAUCAGAAGUGCGAAUGCUGACAUAAGUAACGAUAAAGCGGGUGAAAAGCCCGCUCGCCGGAAGACCAAGGGUUCCUGUCCAACGUUAAUCGGGGCAGGGUGAGUCGACCCCUAAGGCGAGGCCGAAAGGCGUAGUCGAUGGGAAACAGGUUAAUAUUCCUGUACUUGGUGUUACUGCGAAGGGGGGACGGAGAAGGCUAUGUUGGCCGGGCGACGGUUGUCCCGGUUUAAGCGUGUAGGCUGGUUUUCCAGGCAAAUCCGGAAAAUCAAGGCUGAGGCGUGAUGACGAGGCACUACGGUGCUGAAGCAACAAAUGCCCUGCUUCCAGGAAAAGCCUCUAAGCAUCAGGUAACAUCAAAUCGUACCCCAAACCGACACAGGUGGUCAGGUAGAGAAUACCAAGGCGCUUGAGAGAACUCGGGUGAAGGAACUAGGCAAAAUGGUGCCGUAACUUCGGGAGAAGGCACGCUGAUAUGUAG
RNAcentral lists this ribosomal RNA (1341 nucleotides) under Escherichia coli. Its description in RNAcentral is "partial 23S ribosomal RNA". It matches the Rfam family "Bacterial large subunit ribosomal RNA", at positions 418 to 1761 of the family's 2925-position model. Lineage: Bacteria; Pseudomonadati; Pseudomonadota; Gammaproteobacteria; Enterobacterales; Enterobacteriaceae. The record is from RNAcentral.